ACAGCAGCAGCCGCGGUAAUACGUAGGGUGCAAGCGUUAAUCGGAAUUACUGGGCGUAAAGCGUGCGCAGGCGGUUCGUUAAGACAGAUGUGAAAUCCCCGGGCUCAACCUGGGACCUGCAUUUGUGACUGUAUAGCUAGAGUACGGUAGAGGGGGAUGGAAUUCCGCGUGUAGCAGUGAAAUGCGUAGAUAUGCGGAGGAACACCGAUGGCGAAGGCAAUCCCCUGGACCUGUACUGACGCUCAUGCACGAAAGCGUGGGGAGCAAACAGGAUUAGAUACCCCGGUAGUCCCUGUCUCUUAUAC
RNAcentral lists this ribosomal RNA (305 nucleotides) under uncultured bacterium. RNAcentral describes it as "partial 16S ribosomal RNA". It matches the Rfam family "Bacterial small subunit ribosomal RNA", at positions 505 to 807 of the family's 1533-position model. The record is from RNAcentral.